AUACGUAGGUGGCAAGCGUUGUCCGGAUUUACUGGGUGUAAAGGGCGUGUAGGCGGAGAUGCAAGUCAGGAGUGAAAUCUAGGGGCUCAACCCCUAAACUGCUUUUGAAACUGUAUCCCUUGAGUAUCGGAGAGGCAGGCGGAAUUCCUAUGGUAGCGGGGAAAUGCGUAGAUAGUAUGAGGGACACCAGUGGGGAAGGCUGCCGGCUGGACGACAACGGACGCUGAGGCGCGAAAGCGUGGGGAGCAAACAGGAUUAGAGACCCUGGUAGUCCACGCUGUAAACGAUGAAUACUAGGUGUGGGGGGACGGACCCCCUCCGUGCCGCAGUUAACACAAUAAGUAUUCCACCUGGGGAGUACGAUCGCAAGAUUGAAACUCAAAUGAAUUGACGGGG
RNAcentral lists this ribosomal RNA (396 nucleotides) under uncultured bacterium. Its description in RNAcentral is "partial 16S ribosomal RNA". It matches the Rfam family "Bacterial small subunit ribosomal RNA", at positions 523 to 918 of the family's 1533-position model. The record is from RNAcentral.